UCAAGGAAAUAAUGUUCUUGGUUACAGGACAAUCACAGGACCACUGUUCACCUGCUGUACCUUGGGCUGCAGUGAGAGCUGAGCAGCCAGGCAUUCUGCCAGAUGUUCCACUACUGAGCACACGGCAGUUCUGCAUCAGGUGGCAAACACGAACGUGGCCUCUUUCCCCAGACCAUGGAACGAAUUAAGUGCGUGAACAGAGGCGCCUCUGCAUUUAAACCUGAUUGGCUUGUAACUCGGACAGGUCACUGCUGAGGUCACCACUGAGGCCGGGAGUUGGGGGAGCAACUUAGUACCUGAGACCUGCCUGGCACUUGGAAGGCCCAGAUCUCACCUAUCCUCAGCUGUUUCCUGAACAAAGAAGAAAGAAAGCAUUAGAGGAGUCUGAGGGAGUGUGUGGGCCUCUUUUGAUAGCGUCAUUCUUCGAAGUAAGAGCUGGUUCAUUUGCUGCUCUGUUAGCAGUUGUUAAGCAAUCCCUUAUCCUGGACGCAAGCCUGUUCUCUGCUGCAGACUCUGAAGGUACCACCUUUUCAUUUUUGACUCAGAGAUUUGGAAGUGAGAAGCUUGGUUUCGG
Molecule: long non-coding RNA, 574 nt
Filed under: Cavia porcellus (domestic guinea pig)
Lineage: Eukaryota; Metazoa; Chordata; Mammalia; Rodentia; Caviidae
Description: lncRNA (ENSCPOG00000036557.1)
Source: RNAcentral